ACGCACGCUGGCGGCGUGCUUCACCCCUGCCAGUCGAACGGAAAGGCCCUGCUUUUGUGGGGUGCUCGAGUGGCGAACGGGGGAGUAACACGUGAGUAACCUGCCCUUGACUUUGGGAUAACUUCAGGAAACUGGGGCUAAUACCGGAUAGGAGCUCCUGCUGCAUGGUGGGGGUUGGAAAGUUUCGGCGGUUGGGGAUGGACUCGCGGCUUAUCAGCUUGUUGGUGGGGUAGUGGCUUACCAAGGCUUUGACGGGUAGCCGGCCUGAGAGGGUGACCGGCCACCUUGGGACUGAGAUACGGCCCAGACUCCUACGGGAGGCAGCAGUGGGGAAUAUUGCACAAUGGGCGGAAGCCUGAUGCAGCAACGCCGCGUGCGGGAUGACGGCCUUCGGGUUGUAAACCGCUUUCGCCUGUGACGAAGCGUGAGUGACGGUAAUGGGUAAAGAAGCACCGGCUAACUACGUG
RNAcentral lists this ribosomal RNA (467 nucleotides) under uncultured bacterium. Its description in RNAcentral is "partial 16S ribosomal RNA". It matches the Rfam family "Bacterial small subunit ribosomal RNA", at positions 29 to 507 of the family's 1533-position model. The record is from RNAcentral.